Molecule: long non-coding RNA, 1185 nt
Organism: Heterocephalus glaber (naked mole-rat)
Lineage: Eukaryota; Metazoa; Chordata; Mammalia; Rodentia; Bathyergidae
Source: RefSeq, a predicted model, not a curated record
AGCCACUAUACCAGAAAGUCCCUUGGCAGGGGAUUGAAGGAAGUCUUUUUUGCUGGGGAAAGCCUCCAGUGGAUAACAGCAAGGAGCUGGUCUUCAGUCCUCCACUCCAAGAAAGUGAAUCUGCCAACUUUCAAGAGGUUGGAAGAGGAUUCAUCUCCAGUUGAGCCUCCAAGUAAGAACAAAGUCCAAUGAUAAUCUUAUUUGAAACUUUGUGAGACUUUCACAGAGCAUCCAGCUAAACUGUGACCAGACUUUUGACCCGGUGAAUCUAUGAGGUAAGACACAGCACAGAGGCCCUGACCAUGUUCUCAGAUUUCCGGGCCUCCAGAAUGAGACCCACAUGUGUAAAAAUAUUUACUCUCAUUUGAAGCCUUCUUUCCUGGCCUCCAUGGAGUUCGGAAGUUUUGAGACACAAGUAAAGAAGACAAGUAAACCAAUUCUACAGCAAGUCAAAAGCUGGCGAUUCUGGAACCAUCUUUGCCUCUAUGGUGACAAUUGAGGUGGUUAGCUAAGAAAUUGUGGUGAAUGAAAUGGCAGUUAAACCAUCUCACUUUUGUAAUUCUCUCUCAUUUCCGGGAUCACACUAUGUGGCAAUCCUAACCCCUCUGAAUGGGAAUUGCUGCUACCUCUUGCAUCCUUCUGUAAUCCCUCUAAGUCAUUGCUAACACCUUCCACUCCUCAAAUCAUUGUCAUAAUUAUAAAUCAAUGUGAGUGGGAGAGCUGGAUGAGAUGUCCCCACAUCAUGAAAUCCAAGAAGGAAUGCCCCUCUGCAACCUCUGCCAAUGCCAGCGUCUUCUUGUUGAUCCCAGACAUCCACCCUCCAUCUCUCCCCUUUCUGCCAAUACAGGAACUAACCCAAUUGAAGCAGAAGGUACUUAGUGAUUUUAUCUAUAACAAGCAACAUAAUGUGAACAUUUAGAAUGCACAUCUAGUUUUCAGCAUGUCAAAUCUAGAACUUCUCACCAUAACAUUACAAUAAAUCAGAAGGCAUAAAAUCAGUGAAAAACAAAUGUUGGGGGUAAAAAUAUUGAAAAAGUUUCUGAAGUUAUGUUGAAACAUUUUUUGCUUGGUCGGUUAUCAACAGAAGCCUGCACGUCUUGAGUAACUUAACUAAAGCCAAACUGUACUUGUAUAAAAUAUUACUGUUUCCUCUUUUGUGUGUUUGUGGCUUGUUGACCCUGUCCU